Non-coding RNA from Pangasianodon gigas (Mekong giant catfish), 73 nucleotides. The record is from the annotation of a GenBank genome assembly. NCBI's taxonomy places the organism in Eukaryota, Metazoa, Chordata, Actinopteri, Siluriformes, Pangasiidae.
CUUUUCGGAAUCCAAUUCCAAUCUUUUCCAUUUGAUACAGGAUCAGCUGAAAUUCAUUCUUUCUUUUUCUGAU